GCCAGACUCCUACGGGAGGCAGCAGUGGGGAAUAUUGCACAAUGGGGGAAACCCUGAUGCAGCGACGCCGCGUGAGCGAAGAAGUAUUUCGGUAUGUAAAGCUCUAUCAGCAGGGAAGAAAAAAUGACGGUACCUGACUAAGAAGCACCGGCUAAAUACGUGCCAGCAGCCGCGGUAAUACGUAUGGUGCAAGCGUUAUCCGGAUUUACUGGGUGUAAAGGGAGCGCAGGCGGUACGGCAAGUCUGAUGUGAAAGCCCGGGGCUCAACCCCGGUACUGCAUUGGAAACUGUCGGACUAGAGUGUCGGAGGGGUAAGUGGAAUUCCUAGUGUAGCGGUGAAAUGCGUAGAUAUUAGGAGGAACACCAGUGGCGAAGGCGGCUUACUGGACGAUUACUGACGCUGAGGCUCGAAAGCGUGGGGAGCGAACAGGAUUAGAUACCCGCGUAAA
RNAcentral lists this ribosomal RNA (449 nucleotides) under uncultured bacterium. Its description in RNAcentral is "bacterial SSU rRNA". It matches the Rfam family "Bacterial small subunit ribosomal RNA", at positions 330 to 794 of the family's 1533-position model. The record is from RNAcentral.